Orcinus orca (killer whale) is the source of this 2241-nucleotide long non-coding RNA. RefSeq lists it as uncharacterized. The transcript has 2 exons. The record is from RefSeq and is a predicted model, not a curated record. NCBI's taxonomy places the organism in Eukaryota, Metazoa, Chordata, Mammalia, Artiodactyla, Delphinidae.
UUUAGAGACUGGAGGGGUUGAUGUGUGUUCUGUGUGGUGCACGGCACCUGGUGGGAAUCUAGGAGGAGGGUCUAGGAGUCCGGGGACAUAGGUGUGACCCUUGGGUCUGUCACUGACCAGCUGUGCAGCCGGAGGCAAGUCUCUGCCUCUCUGAGCCUCAGUUUCCUCAUCUGUAUGAUGGGGGUGGCGGCCUUGCUCCCCUCAUCAUUUAUCUACAGCAGGUCGAGGGGUGAGACUGAUGUUACUGUGGUUCACGGUCAUCUUCACUGUUCAGCUCCAUUGACCCUCUUCUCGCAUCAAAAGAGCCCAUCUAGAAACCUCAUCCCAAGACUCUUCUGUUCCCGAGGGUGCUGGGAAUCCUCAUGGGACCGAGCUGAGGGACCCCUGUGAACAUCGGAUCCUUCAUCUGUGAAAUGGGCACAAUGACGGUAUCUGCCUAACUGCCGUGUGGGGAGAACUUGGUGAGUUAAUACGUGUAAAUUGCCCAGCGGAUCUUACCCGAUGGAAAACCUCCCUUCCACAGGCGUGCAAAGGGAAACAAACAAGGAGGUCCGUGGCAGCAGGAUUUGGGAUGGAGAGAAGGGGGGCAUCUCCAUGUUCCAUCUCCCAUAUAGCCUCAGAGCGCCUGGAUUCCUGGGGUUCCACCUUGGGAAGCCCCUCCCACAUGCCAGAGUUGCUCUGAGUGACAGAGGUGGGAGAGUGGCCGGCCCUUGCAAUAUUAUAACCACUUCCGAGGUGAGGUUGUAAAAGACUGUGGCUUCCAUCUCGGGCUCUUUCAUUACUCACUCGGGGGCAAGCAGCUGUCACAUCAUGGGGACACUCAGACAGCCUAUGGGGAGAACUGAAGUCUCCAGGCACAGCCAGCAAGAAACGGACGUCUGCAGCAAUCACAGGAGUGAGCCUGGAAGCCGAUUCUCCAGUCCCUACAGAAGACGGCAGCUUGACUCCCCAGCGACCCGGAACCAGAACCAUCCAGCUGAGCCACUCCCGGAUUCCUGACCCCUAGGACCUCUGAGAUAUUCCAGCUUUGGGCUUCCCUGGUGGCACAGUGGUUAAGAAUCUGCCUGCCAAUGCAGGGGACACGGGUUCGAGCCCUGGGCCGGGAAGAUCCUACAUGCCGCGGAGCAACUAAGCCUGUGUGCCACAACUACUGAGCCUGCGCUCUAGAGCCCACGAGCGACAACUACUGAAGCCCGCGUGCCACAACUACUGAAGCCCGCAAGCCACAACUACUGAAGCCCGCAAGCCACAACUACUGAAGUCCACGUGCCACAAUUACUGAAGCCCGGGUGCCUAGAGCCCAUGCUCUGCAACAAGAGAAGCCACCGCAAUGUCAAGCCCACGCACCGCAACAAAGAGUAGCCCCCACUCGCCACAACUAGAAAAAGCCUGCGCGCAGCAACGAAGACCCAACGCAGCCAAGAAAAAAAAAAGAAAAAAGUUGCUGUUAUGCCGAGUGAAGGACAAAAAGCUGACAAUUUCCCUGUGGUUUGGAAAGGAAAAUCUAGCGGGCAGGCCAGGGCCCCCGGGGAACACAAGGCCUGAACUCAACACGGUGGAGGGGCAACCUCAGUUCCACAAAACAUCAUCAUCUGUCACACUCAGUUUGUCCAGUAGCUUGAAUGCUGAUGUUCUUGUAGUUUGUUUUGUGCUUGAUUUGUAGCUGUGUGGUGUAGUGGCCAAGAAUACAGGACUCAGGACCCUGACUGUGUAUGUCCAAAGCCUGGUUCUCCCAGCUGGGUGAUUAUGGGCAAAUGACUGAGGUCUCUCAGCCUCAGUUUUCUCUUCUGUAUAAUGGGGACAAUAACAAUCCCUAUCUCGCAGGUGGUGGUAAGAACUCGGUGAGUUAAUACAUGUCAGGGGCACAGAGCAAGGGCGCAAUAAACGUGAGCUAGUACAGUUAUCAAGUUCAUAGAUAUUUAGGGAAGAGAAUUACUGAAGUCAUCUGUCACCUCUGGGGCUCUUGAGGUUUUCCCCCUUUAAAUGGAUGUUUUUAAUAUUUGAGCUGGAGGAAGUUUGGGCUGCCAUGAGUGUACGGCCCAUGUCCAGCCCAGCACUGUUCACGUGUGGUCUGGCAUUGUGUGCCCCAUCCCCGAUUCUCUCCCCUCCCCCAAUCCAGACUGAGAUUGAGCUCUGCAGGGCAGGGAGGGUCUGUUCACCCCACAUCCCCUCCGUCCAGCCUGGUGCCUGGCACAAACUAGCCUCCAGUAAGCGCUGGGUGAAUAAAUGAAUGCAAGCAGG